Salvia hispanica is the source of this 457-nucleotide non-coding RNA. The record is from RefSeq and is a predicted model, not a curated record. NCBI's taxonomy places the organism in Eukaryota, Viridiplantae, Streptophyta, Magnoliopsida, Lamiales, Lamiaceae.
AGGGGUGCAGGUGGUUGCUUGAUUCAGGCAGAUUUGGUGCAGCUAGAGGGAGACGUUUUGGGUUAGCUACUUGACAAGGAGUUGGUUAAGGGUGAGUUGCCACUCCAAGAAAGGCAAGUCUCCAAUUUGGCAGCAUUGAAAACUCUCGGUUGUGGAAGUGGAUGUGUAGGAGUUUACCUGCCAUUUUGGGAUCAUUUUGACCUCCUUUGAUAAAGUUGUACCCAUAGGAGAAAGAGUUAUUGGGUUGUUAUUUGGGCUGACCUUCGGGCCGACGGGCCAAACUCUCGGGCUGCGCAAGGUGUGACUCGGGCUUAAGAAGAGGGGCCCAAUAUUUGUAUAUUUGUAUUCUUAAAUUCUUUCUCAUCAUCACAUGUGUAAUUUAUUUUGUAACUAGAGAGUAGCUUGAUAUGUAUUCGAACUUUCUAGAUCAGCAAAGUAACCUCGUAUUCUUUCUUGA